This is a non-coding RNA of Bemisia tabaci, 441 nucleotides long. NCBI's taxonomy places the organism in Eukaryota, Metazoa, Arthropoda, Insecta, Hemiptera, Aleyrodidae. The record is from RefSeq and is a predicted model, not a curated record.
AAAAAUAUUAAGGCUUAUUUAACAUAGCUUAAUUUUAUGAUUGUACCGAGGCAAAUUACAAUUAAAAAUAUAAGCAUUGCGCAGGCAAAUACAGACGACUUGGCAAAUUUCAACUUAUAUUUUAUUGCUAUUUGAGAAUAUUAAUUCACAUAGGUGUGGAGGUGUAACAUAUUAUACAUGUAGAAAAAUCUAUAGCUUUAUAAACCUAUUAGUGGCUCAUAUGGAACACCACUAAUAGUCGUAAAUGAACUAAUGAGUCUCGGUCUGUGAACCAUACUACGGUAUUUCGUACCAUACUUAGGUACCUCGUACCAUCACAAAGGUAUGUGUGCUAUUAUUAUAUGUUGCUUUCACUACAAUUAGUGGUGAUCUAUAUGAAUCACUAAUUGGUUUACAAGUCAUAGCUUUUUCUCAGUGUAUUGUUUAAAGAAAAUAUGAAAU